AGUGAACGCUGGCGGUAGGCCUAACACAUGCAAGUCGAACGGCAGCACAGUAAGAGCUUGCUCUUACGGGUGGCGAGUGGCGGGCGGGUGAGGAAUACAUCGGAAUCUACUUUUUCGUGGGGGAUAACGUAGGGAAAGUUACGCUACUACCGCAUACGACCUACGGGUGAAAGCAGGGGAUCUUCGGACCUUGCGCGAUUGAAUUAGCCGAUGUCGGAUUAGCUAGUUGGCGGGGUAAAGGCCCACCAAGGCGACGAUCCGUAGCUGGUCUGAGAGGAUGAUCAGCCACACUGGAACUGAGACACGGUCCAGACUCCUACGGGAGGCAGCAGUGGGGAAUAUUGGACAAUGGGCGCAAGCCUGAUCCAGCCAUACCGCGUGAGUGAAGAAGGCCUUCGGGUUGUAAAGCCCUUUUGUUGGGAAAGAAAAGCAGCAGGUGAAUACCCCGCUGUUCUGACGGUACCCAAAGAAUAAGCACCGGCUAACUUCGUG
Molecule: ribosomal RNA, 492 nt
Filed under: uncultured bacterium
Lineage: Bacteria
Description: partial 16S ribosomal RNA
Rfam family: Bacterial small subunit ribosomal RNA
Source: RNAcentral